GUCUAUGAAGAGGAUUUUUUUUUUUUUCAAAUAUUUUAUUUCAGUUUUAAAACUUGAAAUUUUUUUUAGUAAAGAUCAGAACUACUCCCGUGACAACUGGCUGAGUGAAGAUGAGGUUGCAGAUAAAAAAAAAAAGCUCUCAUUAUUACCGAAAAUGCAUUGUGAAAAAGUUGAGAAAGAGAGAGAGAGAGAGAGAGAGAGAGAGAGAGAGAGGACCGUUCACUGAAAAAUUAUAGCAAUACCGUUGAGGAUUAAUGUUAAGCAGUUCAUAGUUAUACAAUUGGCGUGAAUGCAGAGAGAGAGAGAGAGAGAGAGAGAGAGAGAGAGAAGAGAAGAGAGAGAGA
Molecule: long non-coding RNA, 344 nt
Organism: Macrobrachium nipponense
Lineage: Eukaryota; Metazoa; Arthropoda; Malacostraca; Decapoda; Palaemonidae
Exons: 2
Source: RefSeq, a predicted model, not a curated record